GGUUAAGCGAAUAAGCGUACACGGUGGAUGCCUAGGCAAUCAGAGGCGAUGAAGGACGUGCUAAUCUGCGAUAAGCGUCGGUAAGGUGAUAUGAACCGUUAUACCCGACGAUUUCCGAAUGGGGAAACCCAAUAUCCAAUGGAUAUUAUCAUGACGUGAAUACAUAGCGUCAUGAAGCGAACCGGGAGAACUGAAACAUCUCAGUACCCCGAGGAAAAGAAAUCAACCGAGAUUCCCCUAGUAGCGGCGAGCGAACGGGGAACAGCCCAGAGUCUUAAUCAACAGCAGCAUCAGGAGAACGGUCUGGAAAGUCCGGCAGUAAAGGGUGAUAGCCCCGUAUCUGAAGAUGCUGUUAUUGUGAACUCGACGAGUAGGGCGGGACACGUGUUAUCCUGUCUGAAUAUGGGGGGACCAUCCUCCAAGGCUAAAUACUCCUGAUUGACCGAUAGUGAACCAGUACCGUGAGGGAAAGGCGAAAAGAACCCCGGCGAGGGGAGUGAAAAAGAACCUGAAACCGUGUACGUACAAGCAGUAGGAGCCUCUUUAUGGGGUGACUGCGUACCUUUUGUAUAAUGGGUCAGCGACUUAUAUUCUGUAGCAAGGUUAACCGUAUAGGGGAGCCGUAGGGAAACCGAGUCUUAACUGGGCGAAUGAGUUGCAGGGUAUAGACCCGAAACCCGGUGAUCUAUCCAUGGGCAGGUUGAAGGUUGGGUAACACUAACUGGAGGACCGAACCGACUAAUGUUGAAAAAUUAGCGGAUGACUUGUGGAUGGGGGUGAAAGGCCAAUCAAACCGGGAGAUAGCUGGUUCUCCCCGAAAGCUAUUUAGGUAGCGCCUCGUGAACUCAUCUUCGGGGGUAGAGCACUGUUUCGACUAGGGGGUCAUCCCGACUUACCAACUCGAUGCAAACUGCGAAUACCGAAGAAUGUUAUCACGGGAGACACACGGCGGGUGCUAACGUCCGUCGUGAAGAGGGAAACAACCCAGACCGCCAGCUAAGGUCCCAAAGUCAUGGUUAAGUGGGAAACGAAGUGGGAAGGCUCAGACAGCCAGGAUGUUGGCUUAGAAGCAGCCAUCAUUUAAAGAAAGCGUAAUAGCUCACUGGUCGAGUCGGCCCGCGCGGAAGAUGUAACGGGGCUAAACCAUGCACCGAAGCUGCGGCAGCGACACUAUGUGUUGUUGGGUAGGGGAGCGUUCUGUAAGCCUGCGAAGGUGUACUGUGAGGUAUGCUGGAGGUAUCAGAAGUGCGAAUGCUGACAUAAGUAACGAUAAUGCGGGUGAAAAACCCGCACGCCGGAAGACCAAGGGUUCCUGUCCAACGUUAAUCGGGGCAGGGUGAGUCGACCCCUAAGGCGAGGCUGAAAAGCGUAGUCGAUGGGAAACGGGUUAAUAUUCCCGUACUGGUGGUAACUGCGAUGGGGGAACGGAGAAGGCUAGGUUGUCCGGGCGACGGUCGUCCCGGUUCAAGCAUGUAGGCAGAGUGAUUAGGCAAAUCCGGUCACUUAAUGCUGAGGUGUGAUGACGAACCACUAAGGUGGUGAAGCAAUUGAUGCCCUGCUUCCAGGAAAAGCCUCUAAGCUUCAGGUUACCAACAAUCGUACCCCAAACCGACACAGGUGGUCAGGUAGAGAAUACUCAGGCGCUUGAGAGAACUCGGGUGAAGGAACUAGGCAAAAUGGUGCCGUAACUUCGGGAGAAGGCACGCUGGCGGUAAGUGAAGUCCCUUGCGGACGGAGCCGAAGCCAGUCGAAGAUACCAGCUGGCUGCAACUGUUUAUUAAAAACACAGCACUGUGCAAACACGAAAGUGGACGUAUACGGUGUGACGCCUGCCCGGUGCUGGAAGGUUAAUUGAUGGGGUUAUCCGUAAGGAGAAGCUCUUGAUCGAAGCCCCAGUAAACGGCGGCCGUAACUAUAACGGUCCUAAGGUAGCGAAAUUCCUUGUCGGGUAAGUUCCGACCUGCACGAAUGGCGUAAUGAUGGCCAGGCUGUCUCCACCCGAGACUCAGUGAAAUUGAACUCGCUGUGAAGAUGCAGUGUACCCGCGGCAAGACGGAAAGACCCCGUGAACCUUUACUAUAGCUUGACACUGAACAUUGAGCCUUGAUGUGUAGGAUAGGUGGGAGACUAUGAAAUGUGGACGCCAGUCUGCAUGGAGUCAACCUUGAAAUACCACCCUUUAACGUUUGAUGUUCUAACCUAGGUCCAUAAUCUGGAUCGGGGACCGUGUCUGGUGGGUAGUUUGACUGGGGCGGUCUCCUCCUAAAGAGUAACGGAGGAGCACGAAGGUUGGCUAAGCAUGGUCGGACAUCAUGCGGUUAGUGCAAAGGCAUAAGCCAGCUUGACUGUGAGAGUGACGGCUCGAGCAGGUACGAAAGUAGGUCUUAGUGAUCCGGUGGUUCUGAAUGGAAGGGCCAUCGCUCAACGGAUAAAAGGUACUCCGGGGAUAACAGGCUGAUACCGCCCAAGAGUUCAUAUCGACGGCGGUGUUUGGCACCUCGAUGUCGGCUCAUCACAUCCUGGGGCUGAAGUAGGUCCCAAGGGUAUGGCUGUUCGCCAUUUAAAGUGGUACGCGAGCUGGGUUUAGAACGUCGUGAGACAGUUCGGUCCCUAUCUCGCCGUGGGCGUUGGAAGAUUGAGAGGGGUUGCUCCUAGUACGAGAGGACCGGAGUGAACGCACCACUGGUGUUCGGGUUGUCAUGCCAAUGGCAUUGCCCGGUAGCUAAGUGCGGAAGAGAUAACCGCUGAAAGCAUCUAAGCGGGAAACUUGCCUCGAGAUGAGUCUUCCCUGUCACCUUGAGUGACCUAAAGGAACGUUUAAGACUAAGACGUUGAUAGGCUGGGUGUGUAAGCGUAGCGAUACGUUGAGCUAACCAGUACUAAUGAACCGUGAGGCUUAACCUG
This 2904-nucleotide ribosomal RNA is filed under the name Proteus vulgaris. Its description in RNAcentral is "23S ribosomal RNA". It matches the Rfam family "Bacterial large subunit ribosomal RNA". Lineage: Bacteria; Pseudomonadati; Pseudomonadota; Gammaproteobacteria; Enterobacterales; Morganellaceae. The record is from RNAcentral.